AAACCAUGCAUCGGACAUUUCUUAAGUAAUUCCUUGAAUCGCUUCCAAGCUUCAUAUAGUGUUUCAUCCUCUAAUUUCUGAAAAUAUGUGAUGUCAUUCCUAAACUU
This 107-nucleotide small nucleolar RNA is filed under the name Gossypium raimondii (Peruvian cotton). Its description in RNAcentral is "snoRNA LOC128040094". It matches the Rfam family "Plant small nucleolar RNA R71". Rfam says of the family: R71 is a member of the C/D box family of snoRNAs containing the C (UGAUGA) and D (CUGA) box motifs. Multiple nearly identical copies of this snoRNA have been identified in Arabidopsis, and it is thought to function as a 2'-O-ribose methylation guide for 18S ribosomal RNA. The record is from Rfam by way of RNAcentral. Lineage: Eukaryota; Viridiplantae; Streptophyta; Magnoliopsida; Malvales; Malvaceae.